RNAcentral lists this unclassified non-coding RNA (1029 nucleotides) under Hevea brasiliensis (rubber tree). Lineage: Eukaryota; Viridiplantae; Streptophyta; Magnoliopsida; Malpighiales; Euphorbiaceae. The record is from RNAcentral.
UUUACUUUCUCUUAGCUUUCGCUUCGCAUCGAUAUUGAAGCAUUAAAAGAGAUGAAGAGUUGCAGAGCUUGAAAAGAUCUUUCAAUGGCGAAUCCUCCAAGAAUCCGCAAAAGGGUUCAUGCAGUUCGUCGUGCUCCUGAUGGAAGUGCCUUUGAGAAGUGCGACAACUGUGGUGCUUCGGUGCCAAUUGCUUUGGCUGAUAUGCACGAAUGCGAAGCUCAACCCAAAACGGCUGUGAAGAGAUUCAAAGGUCUCAAUGGGAAGCAAAACAUUGUGGAACGAUGCUAUAGUGACCAACCCAGAUCGCCUUUUCGAAUCUUUAUGGAAGAUUUUAUGAACACUUGCAAGAAGAGGAAAUUGAUUGACAUUGAUCGAAAAGGGUUUGAGAUUUGGAGAAACAUGUCCGAGGAGGAAAGGCAGCCAUAUGUCAACAACGCUACAAAGGUGAACUUAGCUUAUCUUAAAAGUUUGAUUCAAGAGGUUCACGAUUCAUCAGAGGUGGAUGAAGAGGCAGAUUCAGCAAUGGUGGGGAAGUUUGAUCCGUUCUAUGAAGACUAUGGAUACAAUGACAACUCUGAUAGCUUUGAUAGCAUGGGAGGAUUUGAAAGUUUAAACACCUGGGAAUGGUACCUCUCUCUCCAUCUCCUAUGUUUCUGUUUUAGCACAAUUUGCUGCUUGUUUGUUGCUUCAGUAGUAUUGUGAAUUCUGUCUGUUGACACAGGGAAAUGGUGAAACCCUGGAUUGCUGAGAGUUCUCGAUAAUAUCAAAGACUGGCCUAAAGAUUCCCUUGCAUUGGACUUAAAAAACCUAAAUAGCCAAUGGUGUGGAUAAUUUUUGCCAUGAUCCACCUUCUCAAAAGGCAAGUCGUUUGGCUAUUGUAAGGUAACAAUAGGAGUUGAGGUUUCCAACCAAAAUCGUUGGCUAUUCUUCCUUUGUAGAGUUCAAAAGGUUUCACAUUUUGGGUUGUGCUCUAGAAUUUUUGUUGGGGAUAGAAAGUGUGAACUUGAUACUUGAAAGGAAGCAUUUUGC